RNAcentral lists this ribosomal RNA (253 nucleotides) under uncultured bacterium. RNAcentral describes it as "partial 16S ribosomal RNA". It matches the Rfam family "Bacterial small subunit ribosomal RNA", at positions 524 to 776 of the family's 1533-position model. The record is from RNAcentral.
UACGAAGGGGGCUAGCGUUGCUCGGAAUCACUGGGCGUAAAGCGCACGUAGGCGGAUUGUUAAGUCAGGGGUGAAAUCCUGGAGCUCAACUCCAGAACUGCCUUUGAUACUGGCGAUCUCGAGUCCGGGAGAGGUGAGUGGAACUGCGAGUGUAGAGGUGAAAUUCGUAGAUAUUCGCAAGAACACCAGUGGCGAAGGCGGCUCACUGGCCCGGUACUGACGCUGAGGUGCGAAAGCGAGGGGAGCAAACAGG